GACGAACGCUGGCGGCGUGCUUAACACAUGCAAGUCGAACGAAGAGCGAUGGAAGCUUGCUUCUAUCAAUCUUAGUGGCGAACGGGUGAGUAACGCGUAAUCAACCUGCCCUUCAGAGGGGGACAACAGUUGGAAACGACUGCUAAUACCGCAUACGAUCUGACCUCGGCAUCGAGGAUAGAUGAAAGGUGGCCUCUACAUGUAAGCUAUCACUGAAGGAGGGGAUUGCGUCUGAUUAGCUAGUUGGAGGGGUAACGGCCCACCAAGGCGAUGAUCAGUAGCCGGCCUGAGAGGAUGAACGGCCACAUUGGGACUGAGACACGGCCCAGACGCCUACGGGAGGCAGCAGUGGGGAAUCUUCCGCAAUGGACGAAAGUCUGACGGAGCAACGCCGCGUGAGUGAUGACGGCCGUCGGGUUGUAAAGCUCUGUUAAUCGGGACGAAAGGCCUUUUUGCGAAUAGUGAGAAGGAUUGACGGUACCGGAAUAGAAAGCCACGGCUAACUACGUG
RNAcentral lists this ribosomal RNA (510 nucleotides) under uncultured bacterium. RNAcentral describes it as "partial 16S ribosomal RNA". It matches the Rfam family "Bacterial small subunit ribosomal RNA", at positions 28 to 507 of the family's 1533-position model. The record is from RNAcentral.